AAAAAGAAGUAGUCAGUAGAAAGGACACUCAUUUUUCAAAAAUGAAUUACCCUUGAGAUAUUACACUGACAUUUUCUCCAGAUUUGUUCAGAAAUGGUAGGCAUGCUAUUUCCACCUGGAUGAUGAAACAAGUCUAUAUAAGAUGGGUUUUCAUGGUCUUGGAUCCACUGCUUGUCUUCAGUGGUGCCCUAGCACAGCAAUUAAUCUGCCAGCUCAGAUCUCUUCUGCUGCCUCCUGAACACAACACAUCUACAGAUUUGCUUGAAAGUAUAUUAGCCACUUUUCCAAACAAAAGUCUGCUUUCACCAAAAAUAUGUCGUGUGUUGAGUAUCUUUGAAAAGCUUUAAUUAUCCAUUCCUAAUGGUACAAACAGAAAUAGAUGCAAGACUGAUGUGAGCCACAGGUUUCCAGAGGCUGCUCCAUCAGGGUAAAAAUACCAGGUGAGGCCAAAAGGAAAACACAAACAUUGUGAGGUAUUUUUCCCACUCAAUAUAUUUUUCGUUCUGGUCAAGAAAAGAAAUCCCUUUUCAAAGGGGUUUGUUCCAAGUCAGUGAGAUAUUAGUACCAAAUACAGUUUCUUGAAGAAGUCUGCAAAGGUGGUGACACAGAAGCCAUUGUGUGCCACCCAAAGGCAAAAUCCAGAAGAAAAAAUCCUCUUUACAGGAAAAUAUAACUAGGACAGUCAGGACUUGCUGGGACAACAUGUCUCAGGACAACUGCCAAAGGGCCCAUGUGAAGAACGCAACAUAAAUACAAACAAAGGUUGCAGCCAUUUUCCUGAUAUUCUGUCCAACACACUAAACUCGUAAAUCACAGAGUCCCAAAGGGAAAUUAAAGGUCAUCUUGUCACCUUUUCCUUCUAUCAUGCCGCUCCCCCAUGCCAGCCUUUACUAAGGUUCAGUUCAGUUCAGUAGCUCAGUCAGGUCCAGCUCUUUGCAACUUCACUGACUGCAGCAUGCCAGGCCUCCCUGUCCAUUACCAACUCCCAGAGUUGACCCAAACUCAUGUACAUUGAGUUGGUGAUGCCAUCCAACCAUCUCAUCC
RNAcentral lists this long non-coding RNA (1044 nucleotides) under Capra hircus (goat). RNAcentral's name for it is "lncRNA (ENSCHIG00010008344.1)". Lineage: Eukaryota; Metazoa; Chordata; Mammalia; Artiodactyla; Bovidae. The record is from RNAcentral.